AAAGCUUGGCGAUACAGGGUGAUAGCCCCGUAACCGACGCUUCAUCGAGCGUGAAAUCGAGUAGGGCGGGACACGUGAUAUCCUGUCUGAAUAUGGGGGGACCAUCCUCCAAGGCUAAAUACUCCUGACUGACCGAUAGUGAACCAGUACCGUGAGGGAAAGGCGAAAAGAACCCCUGUGAGGGGAGUGAAAUAGAACCUGAAACCGUGUACGUACAAGCAGUAGGAGCACCUUCGUGGUGUGACUGCGUACCUUUUGUAUAAUGGGUCAGCGACUUAUAUUCAGUGGCAAGGUUAACCGUAUAGGGGAGCCGUAGCGAAAGCGAGUCUUAACUGGGCGCUUAGUCUCUGGAUAUAGACCCGAAACCGGGUGAUCUAGCCAUGGGCAGGUUGAAGGUUGAGUAACAUCAACUGGAGGACCGAACCGACUAAUGUUGAAAAAUUAGCGGAUGACUUGUGGCUAGGGGUGAAAGGCCAAUCAAACUCGGAGAUAGCUGGUUCUCCCCGAAAGCUAUUUAGGUAGCGCCUCGGACGAAUACUACUGGGGGUAGAGCACUGUUAAGGCUAGGGGGUCAUCCCGACUUACCAACCCUUUGCAAACUCCGAAUACCAGUAAGUACUAUCCGGGAGACACACGGCGGGUGCUAACGUCCGUCGUGGAGAGGGAAACAACCCAGACCGCCAGCUAAGGUCCCAAAGUAUUGCUAAGUGGGAAACGAUGUGGGAAGGCUCAGACAGCUAGGAUGUUGGCUUAGAAGCAGCCAUCAUUUAAAGAAAGCGUAAUAGCUCACUAGUCGAGUCGGCCUGCGCGGAAGAUGUAACGGGGCUAAGCAAUACACCGAAGCUGCGGCAAUAUCUUUUAGAUAUUGGGUAGGGGAGCG
RNAcentral lists this ribosomal RNA (880 nucleotides) under Vibrio cholerae. RNAcentral describes it as "partial 23S ribosomal RNA". It matches the Rfam family "Bacterial large subunit ribosomal RNA", at positions 346 to 1238 of the family's 2925-position model. The record is from RNAcentral. Lineage: Bacteria; Pseudomonadati; Pseudomonadota; Gammaproteobacteria; Vibrionales; Vibrionaceae.